GCUGGCGUAGCUCAGCUGGUAGAGCAGCUGAUUUGUAAUCAGCAGGUCAUCGGUCCAAAUCCGAUCGCCAGCU
This 73-nucleotide transfer RNA is filed under the name Ignavibacteriota bacterium. Its description in RNAcentral is "Ignavibacteriae bacterium tRNA-Thr". It matches the Rfam family "tRNA". Rfam says of the family: Transfer RNA (tRNA) molecules are approximately 80 nucleotides in length. Their secondary structure includes four short double-helical elements and three loops (D, anti-codon, and T loops). Further hydrogen bonds mediate the characteristic L-shaped molecular structure. tRNAs have two regions of fundamental functional importance: the anti-codon, which is responsible for specific mRNA codon recognition, and the 3' end, to which the tRNAs corresponding amino acid is attached (by aminoacyl-tRNA synthetases). tRNAs cope with the degeneracy of the genetic code in two manners: having more than one tRNA (with a specific anti-codon) for a particular amino acid; and 'wobble' base-pairing, i.e. permitting non-standard base-pairing at the 3rd anti-codon position. The record is from RNAcentral. Lineage: Bacteria; Pseudomonadati; Ignavibacteriota.